This is a long non-coding RNA of Tigriopus californicus, 426 nucleotides long. RefSeq lists it as uncharacterized. Lineage: Eukaryota; Metazoa; Arthropoda; Copepoda; Harpacticoida; Harpacticidae. The transcript has 3 exons. The record is from RefSeq and is a predicted model, not a curated record.
AAAUUGAUUUUAGGUGUGUUACAACUUCAAAAUCUUUGUCCAAUGUGUAUGGCUCCUGUUACCCUACGUAUAGUGUGUAUACAGCGGGUUUCCAUUGGUGGGUGGGUGAGUGAGUAAGUGAGUGAGUGACUGAUCGGCAGCCGCCCUAGAAAAUGACUCAACUACACUAUUAGCAGUUGACUGAGAGACGAUCUCGCUGUUGGAUUCCUCAGUAAUUGCUUCAAAGCCCUCUGGCAUGCUUUGUCUCGGGCAGACAGACCUUCAUUCCCUUUACGCCGAAUGGCGCCGCUAACCUGAGCACGAACCUACACUCAAACGAAAAGCCCGGGCUCAGUUCUCUUCGUACACAUUCGAGCGCUGAGGUUCUACAUACAAGGUAUCCUUACUAUAUACACAGCACAUUGAUCUCAAGCCAACAUCAUCAGA